CUCGUCAAUUCCUUCGAGUUUCACACUUGCGUGCGUACUCCCCAGGCGGGAUACUUAACGCGUUAGCUACGGCACUGUCCGGGUCGAUACAGACAACACCUAGUAUCCAUCGUUUACGGCUAGGACUACUGGGUGUUGUCUGUAUCGACCCGGACAGUGCCGUAGCUAACGCAUUAAGCACUCCGCCUGGGGAGUACGACCGCAAGGUUGAAACUCAAAGGAAUUGACGGGACCCGCACAAGCGGUGGAGCAUGUGGUUUAAUUCGAAGCAACGCGAAGAACCUUACCAAAUCUUGACAUCCU
Molecule: ribosomal RNA, 303 nt
Filed under: uncultured bacterium
Lineage: Bacteria
Description: bacterial SSU rRNA
Rfam family: Bacterial small subunit ribosomal RNA
Source: RNAcentral